This 83-nucleotide transfer RNA is filed under the name Felis catus (domestic cat). It matches the Rfam family "tRNA". Rfam says of the family: Transfer RNA (tRNA) molecules are approximately 80 nucleotides in length. Their secondary structure includes four short double-helical elements and three loops (D, anti-codon, and T loops). Further hydrogen bonds mediate the characteristic L-shaped molecular structure. tRNAs have two regions of fundamental functional importance: the anti-codon, which is responsible for specific mRNA codon recognition, and the 3' end, to which the tRNAs corresponding amino acid is attached (by aminoacyl-tRNA synthetases). tRNAs cope with the degeneracy of the genetic code in two manners: having more than one tRNA (with a specific anti-codon) for a particular amino acid; and 'wobble' base-pairing, i.e. permitting non-standard base-pairing at the 3rd anti-codon position. Lineage: Eukaryota; Metazoa; Chordata; Mammalia; Carnivora; Felidae. The record is from Rfam by way of RNAcentral. RNAcentral also lists the same sequence under 2 other names.
GCCUGGCUGGCUCAGUCGGUUAAGUGUCUGACUUUGGCUCAGGUCAUGAUCUUGCAGUUUGAGUUCAAGACCCACGUCGGGCU